GAUGAAGAACGCAGCGAAAUGCGAUACUUGGUGUGAAUUGCAGAAUUCCGUGAACCAUCGAGUCUUUGAACGCAAGUUGCGCCCGAAGCCAUUAGGCCGAGGGCACGCCUGCCUGGGCGUCACACGUCGUUGCCCCCCCAUCUACUCCUUCGGGAUUGCGGGGGGCGGAUGAUGGCCUCCCGUGCGCCUCGUCGCGCGGUUGGCAUAAAUGCCAAGUCCUCGGCGACACACGCCACGACAAUCGGUGGUUGCGAAACCUCGGUUGCCCGUCGUGUGCGGUCGUCGCGCAUCGAGGGCUCGAAAAAAUUGCCGGGCUCCGGCUCGGCUUUCAACGCGACCCCAGGUCAGGCGGGGUUACCCGCUGAAUUUAAGCAUAUCAAUAAGCGGAGGA
Molecule: unclassified non-coding RNA, 391 nt
Filed under: soil metagenome
Description: partial contains 5.8S ribosomal RNA, internal transcribed spacer 2, and large subunit ribosomal RNA
Rfam family: 5.8S ribosomal RNA (bases 1-122)
Source: RNAcentral